This 198-nucleotide ribosomal RNA is filed under the name uncultured bacterium. RNAcentral's name for it is "partial 16S ribosomal RNA". It matches the Rfam family "Bacterial small subunit ribosomal RNA", at positions 326 to 539 of the family's 1533-position model. The record is from RNAcentral.
ACGCUCGACACCUACGGGAAGCAGCAGUGGGGAAUAUUGCACAAUGGGGGAAACCCUGAUGCAGCGACGCCGCGUGGAGGAAGAAGGUCUUCGGAUUGUAAACUCCUGUUGUUGGGGAAAAAGAGGAUGGUACCCAACAAGGAAGUGACGGCUAACUACGUGCCGACAGCCGCGGUAAUCUGAGCGGGCUGGCAAGGC